Molecule: long non-coding RNA, 371 nt
Filed under: Paramuricea clavata
Lineage: Eukaryota; Metazoa; Cnidaria; Anthozoa; Malacalcyonacea; Plexauridae
Source: RNAcentral
UCGAGCUCUAACCAACUGAGCUACAGAGGACAGUUGUCGAGCUCUAACCAACUGAGCUACAGAGAGACAGUUGUCGAGCUCUAACCAACUGAGCUACAGAGACCAGUUGUCGAGCUCUAACCAACUGAGCUACAUAGUCCAGUUGUCGAGCUCUAACCAACUGAACUACAGAGAGACAGUUGUCGAACUCUAACCAACUGAGCUACAGAGAGACAGUUGUCAAGCUCUAACCAACUGAGUUACAGAGGCCAGUUGUCAAGCUCUAACCAACUGAGCUACAGAGGCCAGUUGUCAAGCUCUAACCAACUGAGCUACAGAGAGACAGUUGUCGAGCUCUAACCAACUGAGCUACAGAGAGACAGUUGUCAAGC